RNAcentral lists this ribosomal RNA (253 nucleotides) under uncultured bacterium. RNAcentral's name for it is "partial 16S ribosomal RNA". It matches the Rfam family "Bacterial small subunit ribosomal RNA", at positions 524 to 776 of the family's 1533-position model. The record is from RNAcentral.
CACGUAGGGGGCAAGCGUUGCUCGGAAUCACUGGGCGUAAAGGGUGCGUAGGCGGGUCUUUAAGUCAGGGGUGAAAUCCUGGAGCUCAACUCCAGAACUGCCUUUGAUACUGAAGAUCUUGAGUUCGGGAGAGGUGAGUGGAACUGCGAGUGUAGAGGUGAAAUUCGUAGAUAUUCGGAAGAACACCAGUGGCGAAGGCGGCUCACUGGCCCGGUACUGACGCUGAGGUGCGAAAGCGUGGGGAGCAAACAGG